UGGUCGCGAUAAGCUCUAUAGAAAUCUGUCUUACUUGACUCAGUUGUUGGUAUGGCCAAGCAGGGGCGUUCGGUGUUAAGCUUUAGCUUGUUUUCCUUGGAUCCUGUUCUUAUUUUUACUCCAUUUAAUCAGAAUAUCCUUCUCCCAUGUACAUUUCUGGUUUUGAUGGCGCCGUUUCGGCUUCUGCGUUUGUGUGAUUGGCAGGGCAAGGAUGUGGAGGCGCGGAAAAGGAGGGACACAUAAACAGUUUCUGGAAAAUUUACUUUCAAAGUGCUAAUGCUUGACCCUCAUUGUAAAAUUCUUAGUGACAGCAUCAUAUAGCGAUGUGUUGUCAAGUAUGGAUUUUGAGCUAUAGUUUACAGGAAGUGGUGCUUUGUAGUGCCAGGUAACUAAUUUCCCAUGAACAUUUAGUUUUUGCUGAUCUAAACCAUGCGAAAAAAAGUUCAUAUAAAACUAUAAAAGAAGCCUCAUGUUCAUCCCUAUGCAGUAUCUUAAGUUUCAAGAAAAUCUGAAAAUAAAUACACAAGUAGUAUCAAUGAUAGAAUAUGGGUCGUUACGCGCUUGCUGACCUCAUGUUGAAUGGUAUACCAUCGAUAGCUCAACAACUUUGCAUUGGG
RNAcentral lists this long non-coding RNA (617 nucleotides) under Triticum aestivum (bread wheat). RNAcentral's name for it is "long non-coding RNA (TAES_LNC024891)". Lineage: Eukaryota; Viridiplantae; Streptophyta; Magnoliopsida; Poales; Poaceae. The record is from RNAcentral.